This 220-nucleotide long non-coding RNA is filed under the name Carica papaya (papaya). RNAcentral's name for it is "long non-coding RNA (CPAP_LNC014802)". The record is from RNAcentral. Lineage: Eukaryota; Viridiplantae; Streptophyta; Magnoliopsida; Brassicales; Caricaceae.
AGUUCCUUGUACAUAAGAACAAGUAUACUUUUUGUUGAAAACCAAUCUUUCAUAAUAUCACUCUUUUUUGCAUACAAGCUCACUUUUUUCUUUUUACACUCAUUUGAAUUCUGCUCCUCUUUUGUCAAACUCACUUUCUUUUUCACUUCAUUAUUUUUUUCACUUUUUCUUUUGAAAGCUCACUCUUGAAUGUCUCACAUUUGCUCACUCUUUUUCCUUC